Molecule: unclassified non-coding RNA, 245 nt
Filed under: Hevea brasiliensis (rubber tree)
Lineage: Eukaryota; Viridiplantae; Streptophyta; Magnoliopsida; Malpighiales; Euphorbiaceae
Source: RNAcentral
CUAGUGCAUCCACUGGUGGGGCGGCGCCACCCACUGCUCAGUCAUCAUCCGCCGUUGUAAACGGUGGAGGGAGGAGUCAGAUCUCUCAUCCGAUCAAAAGAUACUUACCCUUUGCUUCUAUGAGGCCACCUUUUGUUACACCUGAGGAUUACCACCGAUUUUCUAUACCUGGUGUUGAUUCUAGAAUUGGGUCUGCUAGUUUGCAGCCUGAAGCUAUUGUGGUUAAGUCACCUGCACUAAAGCGG